UUUUAAGGCAGACAAGAUUUGAAUCUUGAAUGUGAAAAGGACAUGGAGAGUUCAAAACAAAACUUUCAGGCUCUCUUUAUUCAUCAUUGACACAAACCCAUUUUCCCCCCCAGGUUAGCUACAUUUCUGCAGAAAUUGAUAAUGCUAGAAAAGUGCUAAUGCUUUGUACUGCUAACUCCAGGCUUAUGCCCUUUGUGAUUUGACCACUCCUCCUUCCCCUUCCCUUUUGUUUACAGUGAGUUGUUGGAGACGGCUUGCAUUGCACUCGAAUAUCAACCACUGGGACUUGGGAGAGUGAACAACUGACUUCCCUCUUGCUGCCUGAAACAUGAAAAUUAGAACUAUUUUUAAUUAUGACUCACAGGAAGUUGCUGUUGUACUAGAAAAUGGUGUAAGAGACUGUCCUGCAUAUCUCUGUGACAAACUUGAGGGCCCUUCUGUGUUUAUCGCAAUUAAUUUACCCAAUACUGCAUGUGUUCUCUGUCGGCAGAAAAGCUGUUCAGAGUCAUUCUAUGAUAUCAUGGUACUGCAAGAUGGAAAGCUAAAGUAUUUCAAUAGUACCUACAGAGGGUAUGUGUCCAUCUCCCAGAAAGGCUUUGCUGCAAAUAGGAGCAAAUGGCUAGAAGACGAAUAUCUGAUUCUAACCAGCCUGGAAAGAGAAUGUGUGGCCCAUGUGAUUCUGAUGAUGGCAGAUUCCACUUUGUCCCCACUCUCUCUACAUGUGACCACCCAAGCCAUAGAGGGAUCGUGGAAUGAGACUGACAAGAAGAAUUUCAUGACUUCUCAUGGCCAUGCUGGCUUGAUUACUGUAGUUGUCAUGGUGGUGGUGCUGCUGCUGCUAUUUGUGCUGUAUAAACAUAAGGUUAUCCCGUGUAGAAGAAAGAAGCCUGAGAUAUAAGCAAGUGAAGAUGAGUUGCUUUAGGAAGCUAUAAACAGUGGAAUGGAACUACAGAUGGCUUAGAGGGAGAACAAGUGUGCACUGUGAUGGUCAGGGUCUCUGCUAGCAGGGAAACAAGACCCACAUGGAGCCUCUUACCAGCAAUUACUAUUGGUGCUCUUCUGAUCUCUCCCACCUGAUUUGCACAUUUUGAGGACUUCUGUUUUGGAAAUUCCUAGUUCUGCUUGUGGUUUGGGAGAUAGCAGACCUGGAAUACACGUAGCCACUUUUCUAAUCCUACUUGCUGUUAACUGGCUUAGGUUGUGUUUUGUUUUUAAUUUAUUUUUGUAAGAGCUGUUCAAAGGCUUGCCUCAUUGCGUUCUAAGACCUGCCUGCCAUGUAGGCUUUGGUUUGCUUUCUGGUGUCUUCUGGGUUCACCUACCUGCCCAUUUCUAAUGCAUGUAUCACUGUAGUCUCUAGUGGCAGUUACAUUCCCCACCAUCAUGAAAUAUUUCUAGACUUAUUCUGAAAUACUGCAUCUCUGGAACGCCGUACUGUCUACUGCGUAUACAGGAAUCCAUUAUUUAUACAUUGCUUGCCUUUUUAGCCCUGCUCUCCCAAAACACUAGGUGCACAGCAUGAAAUACAAUCGGUCCAAAAGAGGUGUCAGUACAUUAUAAAGAUGCAUUAGUGGUUUUAAAAACCCACCAUCUGUUGCUAACCAAGAACCAUUCUUUAGCUAGCAGAAUCAUCCUGAUAAAAUAUGUCUUCCUCUUCUGAACAAAACUCAACAUUUUCUCAGGUAGCUUGAUCUUCAGAGAUGCACUUUUAAAUGUCUUAGAAAGAUCCUGAACAGCCAGCUAUAGUAGAAAGAGCCUGGGCCUGGUGCAAGGCCUGAGGCCUGAAUCAAAGUCAGCAAAAGUUAUGCUUAAAAGUUGUAGAUGCCAUGUUCUGAUCAUUUAUGAAGAUAUACGUCUGUUACAUAAUUACAAAUUAGUACCCGAGCCGAGCAUAUGAAGAU
Molecule: long non-coding RNA, 1898 nt
Organism: Chrysemys picta bellii (western painted turtle)
Lineage: Eukaryota; Metazoa; Chordata; Testudines; Emydidae
Source: Ensembl